AAAGUCGUAACAAGGUCUCCGUUGGUGAACCAGCGGAGGGAUCAUUACAGAGUUACAGCACUCUCCAAACCAUUGUGAACCAUACCUUCUAUCGUUGCUUCGGCGGGAGGCGCCCCCCCGUGCCCCUGCGGCCGCGGGGCGCCCAACGGCCCUGCUGGGCGCCCGCCGGAGAAAUACCCUAAACCCUUUGACAGCACAUGGCCUCUCUGAGUUUUCUGUUUUAAAUAAGUCAAAACUUUCAACAACGGAUCUCUUGGUUCUG
RNAcentral lists this unclassified non-coding RNA (262 nucleotides) under Ascomycota sp. RNAcentral's name for it is "partial contains small subunit ribosomal RNA, internal transcribed spacer 1, and 5.8S ribosomal RNA". The stretch from base 1 to 47 matches the Rfam family "Eukaryotic small subunit ribosomal RNA", at positions 1785 to 1831 of the family's 1831-position model. Lineage: Eukaryota; Fungi; Ascomycota. The record is from RNAcentral.